UGUUAUACAGGUGCUGCAUGGCUGUCGUCAGCUCGUGCCGUGAGGUGUUGGGUUAAGUCCGCAACGAGCGCAACCCUUGUGACUAGUUGCCACUCCCAUUUCGGUGGGAAGCACUCUAGUCAGACUGCCCGUGAUAAGCGGGAGGAAGGUGGGGAUGACGUCAAGUCCGUAUGGCCUUUAUGCCCAGGGCUGCACACGUGCUACAAUGGAUGGUACAGAAGGACGCAAGACCGCGAGGUGGAGCAAAUCCCCAAAACCAUCCACAGUUCAGAUUGGAGUCUGCAACUCGACUCCAUGAAGCUGGAAUCGCUAGUAAAGGCGUAUCAGCUACGACGCCUUGAAUACGUUCCCGGGCCUU
RNAcentral lists this ribosomal RNA (358 nucleotides) under uncultured Lentisphaerota bacterium. RNAcentral describes it as "bacterial SSU rRNA". It matches the Rfam family "Bacterial small subunit ribosomal RNA", at positions 1028 to 1382 of the family's 1533-position model. The record is from RNAcentral. Lineage: Bacteria; Pseudomonadati; Lentisphaerota.